This is a long non-coding RNA of Triticum aestivum (bread wheat), 3370 nucleotides long. RefSeq lists it as uncharacterized. NCBI's taxonomy places the organism in Eukaryota, Viridiplantae, Streptophyta, Magnoliopsida, Poales, Poaceae. The record is from RefSeq and is a predicted model, not a curated record. The transcript is spliced from 5 exons.
GUUGCUCCUGGUCCCGUUCAUCGGUGGCACUGGCUGCGUGCGUGUCUCGUCGCCAUUGGGAUUCACCAAUACCAUCCGCGCCCAUCCUCCAAAGCGUGCAAGGGUUCCGCCAACCCUUCGUCAAGCCAGCGGCCCCUCCGCAUCGUCUCCUAUGAUGCACCGCCAGGGACGCCGUCGACAUGUCGAGGAUACGUAGCGAUGGAGCUCAGCCCGAGCCCAGUAGAAGCCCACUCUUAACCCUAUUCGCUCGAUUGACAAGACCAGGCAACGGAUUGGAUCAAGGGCGCCCGCAUGGCCUCGCCCGCCGCCUGGAUUCACUAGCCGCCGCGUCGAGUCACCCUAGCCACCGCCUUGAGUCACCUCCAUUGCUGUCGCCUCGAGUCACCUUCGUCGCCGCCAGGAAUCUCGUCCGGGCAAGUUAACUUCCUCCGAGCCCCUGCUCUCCCUGGUUCUCCUGCCCUGCUUGAUGUGUGUGUGUGUGUGUGUGUGUGUGUGUGUGUGUGUGUGUGUGUGUGUGUGUGCACGCGCGCGCGUGUGUCUGUGUGUGUGUUGUGUGUGUGUUUAGCCAUCCACCUCCCUUCCGAUCUUCAGAUCUCCAUAUUUGGUGAAUGUAGUGUUUUGGUUUCGUUGGAUUACUAUCUGUAUUCGAGGAUUAGCUACGAAAUGAUGUUUUUAGUUCGAGUGUGGAUGCUCGGCAAUAGUGAUUUAGGUCUUUUCCUAGAACAGAAUGAUUAAAUUGGUCUAUUUCUGGAGAAAAUUCCUAGGUAUUUGAUUGACGGAGGCAUCACUAUCUGGCACUAGAUUAUACAUUUUUGCAGCACUACCAAUGUUGUUUUUGUUUGGCAGGAAUGAAUGUUCUAGGGUUGGAGCAGAGGGGGUUGGGCAGCAGUUGAGCAUAGGCAUGAAUUUAUAGAUUCAAGAUUUUCUUACACAUGGGGCUUAUUCUCCUAAUGUUUCUAGGUCGCUUUGGAGGCUGAUAUCAGGUGGCUACUCAUGUCUGGCUUGGUGCCUAUAUUUUAGAUGUUCCAUUAAUCUUGGCUACUUUUCUCAUCCGUUUUGGGCUUUAACCUUGAUCUAGAAGGUUGCAGCUUCUUUGUUCUCCUACUCAAGAUUUGCUCAUUGUUCAGUUCAAGCCAUGUUCCUCAGGUAUCUUCCUUUACAUUUUCUUCAAGUGAUGGUCAGUUGAUCUAGCCAAGGGCUUCUCUAUUGUUCAUGGUUUACUGGAAUAUGUUUUGCUUGGCUAACAAAAUAGUAGGCAUGUGUGUGAGAUUACUUCUCGGCAAAUCUAACAUAAGAUUCUAACUUUAAUUCCAAUUUGUUUUUAACUCUCAUAAGCUAUUUUUGUUGUUAAGUGUUGCUGGAAGUUUGAACUUGCAAAGAGAACAAUUGAAAACUUUACCACUACAAUUAUAUUUACCGACUAUAAUGGUAACUGGGGGAUAAGCAUCCUAAGACAUUUGUACCAAAAUCCUUGGGCGUGCCUAUAUGUUCUCUCUAUUUUAGAGUAUGAUGCCCUCAACAAUUGGAAGAAACAACAUGUAAAUCAAUUUAUAAUUAUAAAACCAUGUGAGUUGGAUCUCCAUUUUCAAUUGGCGGCUUUUCUUAAACAUUCAUACUUUUGAAAGCUUCUACAAGACUCUCCUUAGACCAUUCAGCACAUGUUCUGUAACCCAGAGCAAGUGCAUGCAUACCCUAUACUCCAACAAGAUAUUAUAAGAAUGCAACUAAAAGGAAAAUAACAUCUCUCCAGAAACAGAAUUUUCCUCAAAUCAUUUCUCGAGAUGCCCUCUAACUUAUGUUGCGUUUAUGACUGAAUCGUCUUUUCUUUAAGACUAGCAUGUUAUCAGCCUUUGGCAUCUUUAAUCUUCAAUGUAGAAGAUCAAGAUCAAAUUUGAUCGUAGCAAACACAAAUGAACACAAUAAAAAAGUUGAUGGUAAAAUUGUUCAUUGUCUGCCAUAUUAUAUUUGUUAUAAGUAAUAGUAGAAACUAGUAAUUAAUUCUAUAUAGAUUCAAUGAAGUAUGGAGAACAUGUGCUUGGGAGGGGAUUUGGAAAGAUUAGUUAUGGCGCGUUCUUGUUUUACUUAAUAGUCUUCGGUUCUAUAAUUCAUAGCUCUGUGUAGUGUGUACACACUAAUAAAGGAGGAUCACAUUUUGUUAUUCCUUUUUUAAAUAAUUAUGAGUGAGUUGCAUUCUAUUGGUUCACUAAACUAACCUUACUGAUUGUUUCCAUACAGAAAUAAACCCUUUUGGUCAUUGUAGAUGUGUACUGUUGUAACAAUGCAUGUUAGCUAUAGUUGUUAUAUAAUUCUUUUUAUAAAUCUUGACUGAAUCGAGAUAUCUUCUCCAGGAAAAUCAUUUUUUCUUCACUUCCAGGGCCAGCGUCACUCAACUUUGCUUGGAGCAUGCUUAUUUGUUUCUACAUUGCCUUUGCUUAAUAUUUUCUCUUGAUUUCCUAUGUGAUUGAGAUGCGUGCCUAUCUUGACUGUUCUAUUGUGUUGGAAAUUUCUCGCCACUGGCCCAUUAUAACUGCUUUGGUCACGUACCUGGUGCACUUCUAAUUUUGAAUUGUGCUUGCUGAGUGCCCUCAUUUUGUUUACUACCUUCCGUUGGUGUAUAUGCAACUGUAUAGGUUUGUUGUUCAAUCUGGUUAUAGCUUUAUUCUCCUAUUUUCUUACUCAUUGCCACAUUGUCUUAGUUAUUACUCCCUCCGUUCCUAAAUAUGUCUUUCUAUAUAUUUCAAUAUGGACUACAUACGGAUGUAUAUAGAUGGUUAAUAAACCUCCUACAUGUUAUUGAAGAUUGGUCUCUUGCUCUUUUUUGCUUAUGAAUCAUACACUUCUCGUUUCUUCAGUACUUACACCUAGCUUUGGCCUCAUCCUUUGAUGGUUUGUGUAGUAAAAGUGGUGAUGAUGUUGCUUAAAGAGCCUCAACUUGCAGCAAAUAUAUGGGCAUGUGCAACUGCAACUUAUGUAGGCCAAUUUAUUCUCUAUUGUUUUUAUUUAGAAGUUUCUCCAUGAUGGUACUUUCAACCUGGAAACUUGAAAAAGAAUCAAGGCCAGUGACCCAGCUUUUGUUCUAUGGGCAGCCCUCCGUCGAAUGAAGCUCCAACCCGAGCAAGGACAUGGUAGCAGGUGGUGUAUCUGUUUAAUGUGUGUUAGAAGAGGCGAGCGCUUGGUUGAUGUUGUAUGCACAUUCUGUAAAAUAGAUUUUUCAAUAAAGCUUUGACAAUUUGUUUGUUGUCAUCUCUUUUUCAAAUAGUAUAUCAUCUUCUGGUUGUUUAAUAUGUAUUGUAGAGUCGAUGACUAUCCAAACUAUUCUUUGUAAACCAACAAGAUUGUGAAUCGCUAACCACAUCUUCUAAGACAAUCA